UACUGCGAUAAGUGUGUCAUUUCUAUCAUUAAGACUGCUCUAAUAGACCCCAUGUUAUAUUCUUGUGCCGCAAUAGCAAACGAUCAUAGAACAAAUCCUGGACGGUCUCACAGGCCUGAAGAUGUGUCCAUACUUAUUAGUUCUAAGCUAACUUUGUAUAUGACUCAGCGAUCAUGUUAGGCGAAUGCUAGUGCAGAAUUACAUUAUACAAUGUCAUCCGUGAGUCAAAGAUAAGUGACAGGGAAGUGGUUCCGUUUGGGUGGACUAUAUUUUGAAGAAUGUUUUGUUACCAUCACUCAGUUGAUUUCUCUGAGACCUCCUAAUCCUAAUAUUUUUUGCAAUGGAAGAUUGCAAGAGUGCUAUUGCAUAAGAUACGACAAAUUGCCUAGGAUAUCAUGUGCUAGUGGAUGGUGUAGCUAUAAGGGUCACCUGCAUGUUUCCUGACUGCAGAGUAGU
Molecule: long non-coding RNA, 456 nt
Filed under: Oryza brachyantha (malo sina)
Lineage: Eukaryota; Viridiplantae; Streptophyta; Magnoliopsida; Poales; Poaceae
Description: long non-coding RNA (OBRA_LNC001650)
Source: RNAcentral